AUGGGGCCAGCAAUAACAUAUCAAAUCUUAAUCUCAUAACUACAUAUAUCAAUAUAUGUAACUAAACUACCAAAACUCAUAUACAAUAAUAAAGAAAUCAAAUGAUGUGAAGAAAAGAAUAUUAAAAAAAAUUCAGCAUCUAAAUCUUGUCCCCACUUAUGCUUUCACAACAAUUUUUUUUCGGGUAUAUGAAAAAUAUAAGCUUUGUUCACGCUCUCACUUUUUAAGAAUAUGAUUUUUUUCAUCGUUUUACUAAUUUUUCGAGUCUUUAAUUUUUAACAAAUAAUAUCGUUAUAUACAUGUUAUUAAUAUAAUUUAGAAA
This 322-nucleotide long non-coding RNA is filed under the name Eutrema salsugineum. RNAcentral's name for it is "long non-coding RNA (ESAL_LNC000840)". Lineage: Eukaryota; Viridiplantae; Streptophyta; Magnoliopsida; Brassicales; Brassicaceae. The record is from RNAcentral.